CAAGUCCUUUCUCCAACUUCCAAGCCGAACUCAAACCCUUGAUGAAGCCCCGGGUCGACCGCACUUUCUCCCUCCAAGCUUCGUCUCUGGCAGAGCGGGAGCCUGUACUGUAGAGAAUUGUCCUCAGUCCACCUAAGCUGCUUCAUCCAGAUGCACCUGGGAGAUUAUGCUCCUGUUGUCCCAGCCUCCCAGGCACCCACAGCCUGUGAAUGACUGAAGUGGGGUAUGAAGUCCAGCUCCCUUGCUUCUGAGAGGAAUAAAUCUUGUGUUGCAUUUUUAUGCUUUAGAGCUCACUGUAGGAUCAGAUUGAGGCUAGACAUCUUUGCUUGGCUUCUUCCCCUGCCCUAUCCUGCUUCCCUCACUGCUAAUAAAUCACUUGCAAAAGAA
Long non-coding RNA from Canis lupus familiaris (dog), 387 nucleotides. RefSeq lists it as uncharacterized. Lineage: Eukaryota; Metazoa; Chordata; Mammalia; Carnivora; Canidae. The transcript is spliced from 2 exons. The record is from RefSeq and is a predicted model, not a curated record.